Molecule: ribosomal RNA, 542 nt
Filed under: uncultured bacterium
Lineage: Bacteria
Description: bacterial SSU rRNA
Rfam family: Bacterial small subunit ribosomal RNA
Source: RNAcentral
UGAGGAAUAUUGGUCAAUGGGCGAGAGCCUGAACCAGCCAAGUCGCGUGAAGGAUGACUGUCUUAUGGAUUGUAAACUUCUUUUAUACGGGAAUAACAAGAGUCACGUGUGACUCCCUGCAUGUACCGUAUGAAUAAGCAUCGGCUAACUCCGUGCCAGCAGCCGCGGUAAUACGGAGGAUGCGAGCGUUAUCCGGAUUUAUUGGGUUUAAAGGGUGCGUAGGCGGUUUGUUAAGUCAGCGGUGAAAUCUAGAGGCUCAACCUCGAAACUGCCGUUGAAACUGGCGAACUUGAGUGUAGAUGAGGUAGGCGGAAUUCGUGGUGUAGCGGUGAAAUGCAUAGAUAUCACGAGGAACUCCAAUUGCGAAGGCAGCUUACUAAGGUACAACUGACGCUGAAGCACGAAAGCGUGGGUAUCAAACAGGAUUAGAUACCCUGGUAGUCCACGCAGUAAACGAUGAUAACUGGGCGUAUGCGAUAUACAGUAUGCUCCUAAGCGAAAGCGUUAAGUUAUCCACCUGGGGAGUACGCCGGCAACGGUGA